AUUCUUCUCUUUUUUUCUUAUAUAUUAAAAUAAAUAAAAAAAUAUUUUUUUUAAAAAAUUUCUACUAGAGCAAAACGACGAUUGUUAGACACAAUCUAAAGCCUACAAGCCUGUAAGGUCAUUGACGAAGAAAUGGAUUCCAAUAGACAAUCUAGAACCCUUUUGGACCUGUGUUAUCUUAUUAGCUCUGUUCAACUGUCUAGAAUUAGAUCCUCAGCUAAUAAUUUUACAAUUGGCCCUCAAAUAAUUAACAUGCAUCCUACAUUCACUAAAAUUGAAGAUGCAUACGUUUAUUUAAGAGAGUUUGAAGAUACUAGAAUUGCAAUUUUGACCAGUAGAAUUGAAGCUUUAGAAUUCGAAAGAUAUAUCUAAUUUAACCAAGUACUAGCACCCAUGUGCAUUGGAUGCGAUGCACCAGAUUAUGUUAUGAAGUGUCCUUAUUUGAUGAACCCAACCCAAACUAAGUUCAUAUAGGAGAGUGCAUUCAAUGAAAGUUACAUAAAUGAACCUUAUGCACCAACCUAUAACCUAGGAUCAGGAAGUCAUCCUAAUUUUACAUGGUCACAAGAUGCAACACUAUGGGCCC
Molecule: long non-coding RNA, 586 nt
Filed under: Elaeis guineensis (African oil palm)
Lineage: Eukaryota; Viridiplantae; Streptophyta; Magnoliopsida; Arecales; Arecaceae
Description: long non-coding RNA (EGUI_LNC006112)
Source: RNAcentral